AUUGAACGCUGGCGGCAGGCCUAACACAUGCAAGUCGAGCGGAUGAAGGGAGCUUGCUCCUGGAUUCAGCGGCGGACGGGUGAGUAAUGCCUAGGAAUCUGCCUGGUAGUGGGGGAUAACGUCCGGAAACGGGCGCUAAUACCGCAUACGUCCUGAGGGAGAAAGUGGGGGAUCUUCGGACCUCACGCUAUCAGAUGAGCCUAGGUCGGAUUAGCUAGUUGGUGGGGUAAAGGCCUACCAAGGCGACGAUCCGUAACUGGUCUGAGAGGAUGAUCAGUCACACUGGAACUGAGACACGGUCCAGACUCCUACGGGAGGCAGCAGUGGGGAAUAUUGGACAAUGGGCGAAAGCCUGAUCCAGCCAUGCCGCAUGUGUGAAGAAGGUCUUCGGAUUGUAAAGCACUUUAAGUUGGGAGGAAGGGCAGUAAGUUAAUACCCUGCUGUUUUGACGUUACCAACAGAAUAAGCACCGGCUAACUUCGUG
RNAcentral lists this ribosomal RNA (484 nucleotides) under uncultured bacterium. RNAcentral's name for it is "partial 16S ribosomal RNA". It matches the Rfam family "Bacterial small subunit ribosomal RNA", at positions 30 to 507 of the family's 1533-position model. The record is from RNAcentral.